Molecule: transfer RNA, 68 nt
Filed under: Nothopuga sp. 1 LP-2008
Lineage: Eukaryota; Metazoa; Arthropoda; Arachnida; Solifugae; Ammotrechidae
Description: tRNA-Leu
Source: RNAcentral
AUUGAUUUGGCAGAAGGUUUAUGCGUUAAAUUUAGAAUUUAAGGAUGUUUUUUGUUUAACAAUCAAUA